This 301-nucleotide ribosomal RNA is filed under the name uncultured bacterium. RNAcentral's name for it is "partial 16S ribosomal RNA". It matches the Rfam family "Bacterial small subunit ribosomal RNA", at positions 509 to 807 of the family's 1533-position model. The record is from RNAcentral.
CAGUAGCCGCGGGAAAACGAAGGGUGCAAGCGUUACUCGGAAUUACUGGGCGUAAAGCGUGCGUAGGUGGUGGUUUAAGUCCGUUGUGAAAGCCCUGGGCUCAACCUGGGAAUUGCAGUGGAUACUGGGUCACUAGAGUGUGGUAGAGGAUAGUGGAAUUUCCGGUGUAGCGGUGAAAUGCGUAGAGAUCUGGAGGAAUACCGAUGGCGAAGGCAGCCAUCUGGCCUAAUACUGACGCUGAGGUACGAAAGCAUGGGGAGCAAACAGGAUUAGAUACCCCGGUAGUCCCUGUCUCUUAUAC